This is a long non-coding RNA of Gopherus flavomarginatus (Mexican gopher tortoise), 765 nucleotides long. RefSeq lists it as uncharacterized. The record is from RefSeq and is a predicted model, not a curated record. NCBI's taxonomy places the organism in Eukaryota, Metazoa, Chordata, Testudines, Testudinidae. The transcript has 2 exons.
UACUGGUAUCUCAUCACUCCCAGCAGUAUUCUUGGCUAUUCAGCGCUGACUCAUUUUCCCCACUGAUGGUAGGCAGUAAUCUUGCCCCCUCGUCUGUGGUAGCCUGGGACUUCCUAAUGGUCUGUGAAGAUGUAAAGGACCUUGAGCCAGGCAGGAGAAGGAAUUCUGCUUACCUUGACUUAUUACGUGGGGAACAAAAGGCAGUGGAGUGUGUGUGUGUGGGGUUAAUACUCCUCCCUUAAAGAAGCCGAGGUUAGGCCAUUGGAGUCCCUGGGCCCUAAAUUCCAAGAGGGUGGGGCAGAAAAAGGAAUUUGGCUGUGGGGGAAGGAUUGAAGAGUUUCCCUUGCUUGACUCUUCUGCUGUUUAAAAGCAGUCAGAGAUGCCUCACAGGGAAGCAGCCCUACCUUAUUUCUCCCCUUUUUGCUCUGAAGAAUUGGUGCUUGUAGUAUUUCCAGGAUGUGUGGGGAAGCUCACCCCAUUAUAGGGGCAGCCAGUCCAUUGAAGGAGAAAGAAAUCAGAGGUCAUCAAGUCCAGCCCCCUGCACUGAGGUGGAACCAAGUAAACUUCUUCAUCCUGGGUUGGUGUCUGUCCAACCUGUUCUUAAAAACCUCUCAACAAUUUUGUUGAAUGAAUUCAGUGCCCUGAAAGCUUCUUUUUUCUUUGUGACUAUUAAAGAGCUUCAGUAUUUGCUGUCUUAAUUUUAUUUUAAUUAUGGAAUAUUUUGUAGAAGAUAAAUAUACAGUAUAUUAAAGGUAUCUGAUUUAA